AUGCAAGACUAUUUCGCGGACAAUCCUACAUAUCCUCCGCACCUCUUCCGGAGAAGGUACCGAAUGCGCCGAUUCCUCUUUGUGAAACUUGUUCAAGCUUGCGAGGCAAAUUGCCGGUAUUUUACUCAAAGAAGGAAUGCCGCAGGCUUAAAGGGAUUUAGUGCAUAUCAAAAAAUCUCCGCAGCUAUGCGGGUGAUUGCAUAUGGCUUAUGA
Molecule: ribosomal RNA, 213 nt
Filed under: Triticum aestivum (bread wheat)
Lineage: Eukaryota; Viridiplantae; Streptophyta; Magnoliopsida; Poales; Poaceae
Description: partial small subunit ribosomal RNA
Source: RNAcentral